This is a long non-coding RNA of Cucumis sativus (cucumber), 399 nucleotides long. RefSeq lists it as uncharacterized. The record is from RefSeq and is a predicted model, not a curated record. The transcript is spliced from 3 exons. NCBI's taxonomy places the organism in Eukaryota, Viridiplantae, Streptophyta, Magnoliopsida, Cucurbitales, Cucurbitaceae.
CCCACACUUAGGAUUUUUGCUGCGAGUUCGACAUUCGUGCGUUGAGGUGUUGGGAGUAACGUUAGGCUCCCUUACAUUCACAACCCGUUUGUGAAUUGUUGAAGGUUCAGUUCGCCAAUAUAUCGGAUUGUUUCGAGGACGUUAGUUGAUUAAGGAGCUUCCCUAACUUUGAGGCAAAGGUAAUAAAAGCGGCAAACCGGCGAGGGGCAGGAAGGAAGCGUGACUGCCAUAGGAAAUAUGUUGUUUGCUUCCGCUUAUGGGUUCUUGUGAGGUUUAAGAUGAAUUGAAAGUUUGCUUACAAACGUUUAUUGUAAAUAGUAUUGUUUUUAUGUUUUCUUAAAUGUUUGAAAUUCAGGCCUGACUUAAAGAUGUUUUUAAAUUAGCUUACGUUUUGUUUUA